This is a long non-coding RNA of Balaenoptera musculus (blue whale), 10013 nucleotides long. RefSeq lists it as uncharacterized. Lineage: Eukaryota; Metazoa; Chordata; Mammalia; Artiodactyla; Balaenopteridae. The record is from RefSeq and is a predicted model, not a curated record. The transcript has 8 exons.
AGCACCACCAAGCCUCCCUGGAAGGGACCUUCUGCUCAGUUCUUGGACUGAGGGAUGGAGUAGGAUUUUACUUCACUUGUUUUCAGGGACUCUUAACUGGUGAAAAGAGUUGGGAUAUUUUAUCAUCUGGAGUUUCUCUGCCUCGCUGAUGAUCUAAGCUCGAACCUGCCAGUUUAUGGGAGAUGAUAGAAAACACCCUCUAACAUCUGAGUUGCAAAAAUAUCUGCCUCUAAGAACUCAGGAGGACCUACUUUGUGGGAGCAAAGGUAGUGAGUCAUACCUGCAAGCCUGGAAAUGAGAGUUCACUUGCGCCUCUUCAUCCAGUUGGGACGUUUCCUAGGCAACCAUUUAUGCAGCAAUUAAAAGAUGAGUUAAGAGGAGAAAAUGGAAAAAACAGAGGUACUUUAAUGGAACUGAAUAAACCACUGAACAGGCGUCUACGUAGGAGAAAGUUAAUGGCGCAGAAUGCUGCUGACCGCGUGGUUCUCGUCUUAAUACAUUUUCCAACCUUGAACCUGAGACUGCCAGAGGCUCAAGUCUCUGAAUGCUCGUCUGAGCCGUUAUCUGCUGGUGGCCUGGUUCCUGAGCUAACAAGUGGGUGUCCCAGGCGUGCGUGUGGUAAUAGCAGCAGUGGUGCCACGUGGCGCCCAGAGGUCGCCUUGGUCUGUCCUGGAGAUUCUUGGUCCUCGCUGAAGCUUCUGAGUUGAACUGUGAACUUGGGGCAUCCUGAGAAGCGCAGGCAUUUUGGAGUUCCACAGCAAACCUGGAUGUUAAGUGUCAACACAGCUUAUAAAGUGAAAGCAGAGACCUUGAGGAAGGGAAUUACCCUCAUCUCGUCCGGACCUGCUUACUGUGCUGGAAAACAAAUGGUUCCUAGCUGUUGUGACGUCAAGGCUGCCAUUCAAAGCAGAGAAAAAGGAAACCGUGGCCUCUCUUCGCAUCAGUAGCCUGGACAAGCCGUUGUUUCUCAGGCAUCCACAACGCUCUCUGUCUGGCAGAGCUGUGCAUUCCAUGCCUGGGUGACCUGGUUAAAUGGAGGAAACCAAAUGCUCUCCGUUGAAUGCUCUCCAAAACAAGCAUUCCACCCUGAGCUUCUGAAGCACAGGCUUCACUGCGUCCGAGGACUGUAAAUGGAACUGCAGCAUUGCUCUGCAUUAUCUGCUUGCAUGUUCAGCUUCUGUGUAGUCUUAAAAGAGAGCAUAUCAUUAACAAUGGCCUUCAUUAACAUACACUGCAACAACGACAUUAUGCUGCCUUUGGGGUCAGUGCUACAAAACCCUUCUUGGAAAACCAGUGCUGUGUUAAAAAUCUUUCGGAAUCACAGUCAGAAGUUCAAAACCGCGGAACUGCCACUGGUUCUUCCCAUCCCACUUCUGCUCACCCUGUUCCCCGAUUUCAGAUUUCUGAGUUCUAGAAAGCCUCUUGUAUUUACUUACAUAUUAAUUUCUCAUGGUGCAUUUUUGUGCUUGUAUAGCCUCUGCAUGUAUGUGAAAAAGAAUCUCUACUAUAAGGUAUAGAUCACAGGCUCUGGAUUUUUCCUUAUGAAGAGGAACACCUCUUGCUUUUCAGAGAGAAGGAGCUAUUUCAAAGUAUCACAAAACCGCUCUCUGUUUAGUAACAAGCCAAGAUCCCUACAGCAAACAACCAUCUUGCAAGGCCGAAAGCUCACUAAUAAUGUUCUGAUCGCUUACUUACAUGCCUCAGAAUUCACCGACUUAAGACUCAGUCUCCCGAGGGCGUGCCUUCUUGGGUUUCUCUGGCACCAGAGACAACGUUAUUUUAUUAGAUUCUUGGAGGCGGACAUGACAGUUACGAGAAAAAGCACAGCAAUCACAUUUUGUAUUCCAGCGUUGUCUUGGUUAAGUCAAUAAUAUGCUUUUGAGGUUUUAUGUUACAAAUCCCAUUAAAUCUUUCUCAAAACAACCCUUCUCUGAACGCUUGAUUGAAGGAUAUUUGCAGAAACCAAAACCAUUUAAUUUUAUACAGAGGUGUAUAUACACGUGUCAUGCGGGAUCUUGAUACACGUUGAGGCCUUUAUAACCUGAGUUAUUAUAAGACAAAAUUCUUCCAGAUUAUAAACUCUUGUCUUCUGGGGAAAAAAGUAGAGAUCUUCAGGUAACUAGAUAAAGAUAGACUAGGUGGAGUGAAUCUUGUAAAGUUAGGAUUUACACAGUUUACUAGACUGCGGUCUAGUUUUGCCUAGACAAUCAGACUUGCCCAGAGGCUAGCCUAAUGCCAUAUGAAUGCUGUAUCUAUGCCACCAUAGAUACAGUGGUGGGACCAGGGCAUGGAGCUGAUGAGCAGGUCUUCUUUAUGGGUGCUUUGGGCUGGGUAAGCCUGAGAAUCUUGAAAUGAGAGGAAACCUAGGACAUUACUUUCCAUUUGUGGGCUGGAGAGUUAGUUCUCUUAUUGUUCACUACUAUUUGCAUAUCAGUAAUUCUUUUAUUCUUCCUUUUUCUGUUAUUCCCAUUUCUAGAGGUCCUUGUUAUCUGAAGAUAACCGCUCUGAGAAAACUGUUACUUUUAGAGAAUUGACUUAAAACUGAAUCAGAUAUUUUAAACAGUAAAAUUUUUUAAAAGAUUUUAUUGGGAUUAAGUCUUGAAAAGUUAAAAAAAAGAUGAAUCAGUUUGUUUUACAUUAUAUAACAGAAAUUUGGGCUAUGAUGCAACAAUAUACUAUUUCUUAGACCAAAGAUUGUUCACUUCUGUGGCAGAAUCAUAAAGAAGGUGAUUUUUGUUAUAAGCAUUUAACUUCCUCAAGGACCUGUCUUAAUCUUUUGAUACACAAACCAUUCUCUUGAAGAGCCUACCUCUCCUAUAAUCAUCUCUGUUGACUUUUGCUUCCUCAGUUGUUAACUGUUCAAACUCCCUUUGAUCCUUAUUUGUCAGUGACUAUGUGUGACUCAGGCAGUUCCCCAGCAUCACUUUUAUCAGCUAUGAGUAAAACUGCAGUUUCUGUUACAAGUGAACUACAUUGUAUUUGCAUUUUUAGUCUGUAGUACUGAGCAGCCAAGAAAGUGAGCAGGAAUAGAUGCUGAUGUUAACGAGGACUAAACACUAAGUGAUCACUUUGUCAUUGUUUUUUAUAUUCUGAUGAUCGGUGCUUCCUUUUGCAUCCUGGUAACUACAGGGACUCAGAGAAUGAUCAUUCAAGUAGUUAGGGACCCCCCCCCCCUUCUCGUAUUAUGGUACAUUUAAAGCACUCAGUAUGGCUUAGUGGGCUUUAUAAUCAACCACAUGUAGAUUUGUAUGCCAUUCCUGGCACUUAAUAGAUUUUAUAACCUUGGGUGUGUUAUUCGCAGAACCUCAGAUUCUUGGUGUGUAAUGUAGAGUCAUAAAACCAACCUUGUGGAGUGGUCAUGGGGAUUACAGCCCACAUAUAUAAAAUUCCUGGGUAAUGCAUAGUGCAUGUAGCUCAAGAAAUGAUCCCUGUUUGUUAGGGUCACUAUUGCAGUUGUGCGGUGCCGUACAUGUUUUGAGACUUUCACAUUCAGUUCAGGCUGAAGAACUUAAACUUUAGCAAAGUCACUGAAGAUUUUUAAGGUGUGCAUUUACCUGAGGAAACUAAGUUUCAGAAGGUCAUAUUGGGUGACUGUGUAUGUCCCAGAUUAGAUCAUAUCAUCUGAUAGCCAUUUUCUUCAUGCUGUAGAUGAGAACACCAAGUUCCAAGGAAACCGCAUAACUUUCUCAGGACCACAUGGUUUGCAUCUGGCAGAGCCAAACCUAGAACCCAAUCUUCCUACUCUUUACUGUGUUUUUCUGCCAUGCAGUUGCUCGUUGGCAAGUGAACCAAUUAAAAAGGCUGUCAUAGUUGUCCAGGAACAAAGUGAUAAAGGUCCGACAUAUUUUUUAGAAUCGGGAAUGGGCGGGAGAGGACAAAGGCAGCAGUCACUGGAAACAAGUGCUGAUUAGACUUGGCGACCGAUUGGCUCAGCUCUGCUCCCUGAAGAAGGGUUAGGGUCCAAGUUCUCAAGCCUGGUCCUAUGGCCAUACAGUUAAUUAAGCUAAUAGACGUUGUUGGUUUUGUUGUUUCCUGAUGAGUUUGAAAGGACCACCCUGUCCAGAUGGAAGUAUGUAGGAUUGAAGGUAGGAGAAGACGCCUGUGUGAAGAAAUAACUUUGAGAUUCUGAUGCCAAAGAAGGAGCGUUGAAACCACUGUGCUAUAUAGAAGUAUACACACCUCUGUGUGCAUGCGCGUGCAUGUGUGUGUUAAACUGGAUUUUGUGACAUAUUCCCAAUUCAGGACUAAGCCACGUUAUAACUUACUGCUCAGUUAUAAUUACAAACUGUUAUACCUUCAUCAGAAAGAAGAGCUAUUCCCAUAGAUUCUUCUGUGUCUGUGUGUUUGUUUUGUUGGAUGGAUCCUGCUGUGGCAUGGAGAAACAGACUUUGCUGGGCCCUGUUUUGUAAACAAAUCUGCUCACACACACUUUCUUCUAUCAUUGUAUGUGUACACUGGCUCUGCUUUUCCCAUCAGACACACGGAAGCCUAGGAACUUAGAAGCUUGUUUUCUUUUAGAAAUGUGCAGCCAUCAAAGAAAAAUGUGGGCAUGCAUUUAAAAUGUGCACAUCUACCCUGUGUAAGUUUUUGACUCUUCACGAUUCUAACUCUGGGCCAUGAACUCCUCAAGAACAUCGCAGCCCUGAUACACAUACAGUACCCCUGGGAGGCAUCCUACAGCCACCUUAAAACUAUUGAUUGAGCUCAGUAAAUGUAGAGAAAGCUUUUUACCCUCCAAGUUCAUUCUGUGGGAUUGGUCAGCCAAGAUGAUAAAGUAUAAUACUAGUUUUUCCAAGAAGAGAUGAUUCGUCCCUUUCUUAGAUUGGAAUAUGAACUUAUCAUAAUACAUAUUUAUACAGUCACUUCCUACCUGUAGUUUUUUGCAUGUUUUAUUUAAUAUUCCAGCCAAGUUCAAGUUUUUAUGACAGGAAGUAUGUGAAUGGUUAUGACAAGAGUAAAUAACAUUUGAUUUUAUGAUUACAGGGAGUAACUUUUCAUGCCAAAUAAAUCUUUGGGGGGGAAAAUGCCCGCUUAUAAAUUUAACGUACAUAAAUUUCCCAGAAUCUUUGCUCUCUUAAGCGGAAAUAAAAGCAGAAUGUGAUCUUAUUUAUUUCUCUUCUUAACUUUUCUUGUCAACAGAUGUCUUUGUUUUAGGAUGAGGUAUUUUUGGGUAUUUCGUUGUGACCCAAUAUGACCAUUAAAAAACCAUUUUAAAAACUCUUAAGUGAAUAUAAUAAGGCCAAACGUUAUAGAAUAAAUAGCAUGAAAAGUUUGAAUACCCUAAGUAGGAAAUUACUUUUUCCUUGAAGAGUAAAUGACCAAAUUAUCAAUCACCAUCGAAGCCGAGGAGGCCCCAGCUUCCAAUUCCUCUGGUUGCCAUGUUCCAUAAGCACAUGGGAAAGAUAGUUUGUUUAACAUCAGGUCUGCAUAUGAGCAAGUUUACAGAGAAAAGAAAGAAUUGGAUAGAACUUAAGUUAUGUUCAUCAUAGGAGAACUUUAAAAGAGGCUUUGUGUUUCCCUGACUUAAAAAAGAAGAAGAAAAAACAGGAAGAAAAGAUUUUUUCCCCUCAUCUUUCUCUUUUCUUCUUAAAGCCUGAGGAGCUUGUAGUGAGAAGAAAAUGUCUGACACAUUUCUGAGGACUGAUGUUACACAUGCAUGCGUCACAUGAGUGAAUGAAUGCCUGGACAGAUCAAAAUAACACUCAAGAAGUGCUUCCCAGUUCCGGGCGGCUGUGAGGCAGUGGUGCAGCGCCUUGUGAUGGAGGGGCAAACCUUGCCUCUGUGCCGGGGAUCCUCACUUCACCACUCUGAUUGAAGGGAUCUCUAGAUCCCUUCUGCCUCCAAAAUUCAGUAUCACAAAUUUUGCAAAGUGGUAGUUUGCAAAUUAUACGAAGCUGUUCUCAGAGAACAAACUGAUGUGUUAGAGUUAGCAGUACUUAGUUGUCAUUAGUUUUCUUUCAGUUCUGCGGAGAAUAUCUUUGCAUGUGACAUGAGUAAAAAUCUGCCUCGAGUAGUAGUUUUCAGGGCGGCUUUACUUAGCACGCACCGCAGCCUGGCGUGGCGGGCGGACGUGCUGAUGGAAGGCUCCGAGCAGAGUGGUCAAGGUGAGCCUCCCUGGCUUUGAACCCUGACUCCACCACCUGCCGAUUGUGUGACCGUGGUCAAACCCUUAAAGCCCCUGAGGCUCAGUGUCCUUAUCUGUAGGAUGGGAAUAAUCAAAAGAACUAAGCUUGUAGGGUUGCUCUGAGGAUCGAAUGAGUAGAUCCGUGUAGGUGCCUAAAACGGCUCUUGUAGUCAGGUUGCUGUCACCAUGGGCAAACUGGCUGAAAGAGGCUGGGUCAUCUGGACCAGAGCAAAGCAUCACAGGGGGAAGAGGCAGAACUCGAAUGCGAGGCCUCCCGACUUCCCGUGUUGGGUCUGGUGCCCUUCCUGUGUGAGGCCACACCCCAACGUUUCUAUAAAAGGGCCACUAAAGAGUGCACUCCUUUCCGUUGUUUAAAAGGAAACUUUGAGUAAACGUUAGCUGUGAAGAACAUUUGUGACAGGGUUUUGUUUUGUUUGGGGGGCACGGGGGGACAAUGGGCCCAGAGGUCUGGAGAGCAAACACUGAUUCUGUAAACUUGGGCUUGCAGGAUGUCCGCAGCAUAGCAAAUUAGAGCAGGACCUGGAUAGUCCCUGUAGCUUAAUCACGUUCUGAAUACCCACCCUUAGAAAUAGUCCCCUCAGCCUUCCCCACUUACAGGAGUUCCUAGAGGGCAACAGCUUCUCGGCAGCGGCCACGUGGGUUGGGUUCAUAUUCUCCAUACUGUCCCCGCAUGUAUUUUUAUGAUCUUUAUUCUGUUUUGUUCUACUUUUCCUUUCUCUUUUUGAAACCUCUGCAUUGGCCACCCAGGACUUAAGAGGAACUUUCAUAAGGCACAGUCUGAAACAGGAACAAACUGCACAGAAGCUUUGAGAACUUCGAGCAUGUGUAUGAACAUGACACAGUGGGAGGGGAAAUUAGAUAUUCUAACGUUUGAGUAAGUGUCUGGCCUCUAAUCAUUCACCAAGCUCGGUAUCAAUAGGAGUUUUUUAAGCUGUAGAUAUUUAAAACUGCACUCUCUCUAGGGUUCCUGUUCUUUAGACAUCAUACAGAGAGGUCCUCUUUACAUUGAGCAAGUUCAUGGUGAGAUCUUGGGAGUGAGGACAGAGGGAUGACUGUUGUGUAGUAUUGUUGGUUUGAAUCAAAUCCUUAAGGACAUUUAUUGGUGCUGUUUUUUACUCAUCCUCAAUUUGAAGGUUAUAUUCACACCAUGAAUAUGGUUUCCAUACUCUUCUUUUUAAAAUAUCAGUUUUGGUAAAAUUAUAAAAACAUUUCACAUUCGUGAAAAUUUCCUUCCAGAGCAUAAAACACAGAUGGUUUUAUUAAAAUUUUUCACAUAUAUUCUUUAUGUUUAUCUUGAGUGUUCAAAAAUGAGAAAUACAGGAGCUGGGGUCGAAGGUGUCACCACAUUAGAAAUUAAGGGCUGAGCGGUGCCGUGUAACAAAUAACGUGAACACAUUGGAUCUGUUUGUUUUUAUUCUUCAGUCCCAUUAAGUGGAAGCUCGUGUUUUUCUCUUUCUGCCUACAUGAACUCCUCUGCCCCCAUACCCCACCAUUCCCACCCAAGAUAGAAGCACAUAAACAGCCUGAAAAUAAAGGACAGGUUUUUUUUUAAGCUCCUCAUUUAGCAAAAUGUCUACAAGUCUCUUCAGAAAAUGAGCUGUGUCACACUGAUGCUCUUUAAGAUGGGAUAAAAGCAAUUUUUCUUAGUUUGCCCAGUUAUCAAGAAAUUCUACUCCUCUUUAAGUGAUCAGGUUUUGUUAAAGCCAAGAGAAAUACAAAAGGUCACAUCUUAGCCCUUUGUGGUUGGUUUUCAAGGGGCGCUUUGGUGCGAAAAUCACGUGGUCACUGUUCAUGUGAGGGGGUGUUAGAAAUAGGUGUUUUUCUGCCCCCAUCACAGACAAAUCUGAAAAUGUUCCCUCUUCUCCCAAACCCCGGGGAUGGCACUCAGAGGCUGUGUCUUCAGUGUCUCAGCACCCAGUGGGGAAGAUGAUUUCCAUAUUUGAAAUUCAGGGACAAACGAAAAUAGCUCUUUUUCCUUGAAGGGUUAAUGUUCUAAACAGCUUCAGAUUGGUUCACUUGAAUCUUAAAAUUACUUUUCUGGUCACGCGCACUGAAGGUCUAAGCAUUUGUGAAAUGUCUUUUUUUUUUUUUUUUUUCCUUUCUCCUGAUGCUGUUCUCUCUUGGCUGUCUUAAUUACACAGGGGUUGAAAAACCAAAUUAAAAUUAGGCGUGGCUGGUAAACAGCGAUCACGUUGCAUGCUUUUAGCUUUGAAUGCUUGUUGGAGUUACUUCUCCUCCCUGUAUUGCUUUCCUCCCCGCUUUUUUUUUUUUUCCAAAGGAAAUAUCAUAAGCUCUUUUAGAAGUACUCACAGGAAGUGAGUAUCCAUAUGCUGGUUACUCGCCAGCAACUGAGCGUUGACAGGUGGAGAGUGCUGCUGUCCUCCUCCCAGAUUUAUUUGAACCUUUCUGCCAGAGCCCGGGAAUAUUCAGGGUGUACAGACCAGAGGGUUUUUGUGUACUGAGGGAGUUACAAGAGGAAAUUGGUCAUCGCGCGUCAUCUUGGUGGAUGGUGAUUCAGGGAGCCGUGACGGGGGUCAGCGAGGCACGUGGCUGCCGCCGUCUCUGAGGUUUCUGCUCACUUCUCAGAGGGCGGGCUGUCUUCUAAAAAUUAGUGCUCCCUCCACCGCCAACGACGAUUCUUUUGCAAUGAAUCACUUCCAGAAAUGAAUAGCCACAGUUUUUUGGAAUGAAGGUUGUGAAAUCCCUCGCUUAUAAUGGCAGGUUUUCAGUUGGUGGUUUUAUCAGAGAGAAUUUCUCAAGAUCAAAACGAAACUUCCUCUUUAAAAGGAAAGAAAGUACUCUCAAUACAGAAAGCAAAAGUAUUUCCAGUCUCCUCCUGACGCACUGUCACAGAAGAUCUCUGUACUUGUAUUUAGAGAUACACGUCCAUAUAUUUGCCUGAACGUGUGAGUCCUUGGAAUUACGGAUUCAUUGCCGGUAGCUGGUGGUCUCCUACGCAGAAGAUCGCUAACUACAAGAAAUGCUACGUGCGGACAAGUCUAGCCUGUGCUUGGGGAUCCUUUGUGUGGCUGUUCAGUGGUUCCAGUGCCUCUCUCAGAAGAUCCCUGAAGCCCGCUUCUCUGCCCCGGACCACGUCUUUACCUGUGUUCCUCUCUUUUCCUCAUCCGUUCAUCUGCUGACACCUGUGCAUUCUUAGGAGUCGUCUCAGGUAUCACCACCUCCAGGGAGCCCUCUGGAUUACAUUAGAUAAUGUGAUGUAGUAAGAGGGAGGAGGGGAGGGAGAAAACGUGAGCACACUGGGUUAUAACCAAGUGCUUUUCUUCCCCUCCCACAAGACAUAAGCUACCUGAGAGGGGAGACUUUUUUUCUCUGUGUCACAGUGUCUGGCAUAUCACUGUUGCUCACCACUAUAGAGGGAAUAAAUGGAGGCAGGAUAAAAGCAGGCGAAGACCCAGAUCACUGACUAAUUCCUCUUGGGCGUGACGGAGCUCGGGAAAGAACUAAGCUAAGCUCCAGGCCCGAGAGUAAAGGCACAGCCAGUCAGUGCGGGUGAAGAGAAGUCCAUCACCUCGCGGAGCAGGCCAGCUAACCUCUCCUUCCAGCCCGCCCUCCUGCUGCUCACUCAGAAUGCUUCUGUGGAAGAGUCCAGACUCCAUGGCAGGACCCACCCACCUAUACUGCACGCCUUUUUGAUAUGUGCCCAAAGUACCAUCCAGAGUCUAGGUCUCAAGAAUUAUUUGCUGAUGGACUUAAUUACUUAUUUGACAGGCGGCAAGAGCACAUCCUGAAGUGUCAAUUAAGACCUGUGUUAAAUCAAAUGUACUUCAUUCAAUUUAAAAAAAAAAAGAACAGGGGCUUCCCUGGUGGCGCAGUGGUUGAGAAUCUGCCUGCCAAUGCAGGGGAUAUG